UGCCAGCCGCCGCGGUAAUACGUAGGGUGCGAGCGUUGUCCGGAAUUAUUGGGCGUAAAGGGCUCGUAGGCGGUUUGUCGCGUCGGGAGUGAAAACACUGGGCUUAACUCAGUGCUUGCUUCCGAUACGGGCAGACUAGAGGUAUUCAGGGGAGAACGGAAUUCCUGGUGUAGCGGUGAAAUGCGCAGAUAUCAGGAGGGACACCGGUGGCGAAGGCGGUUCUCUGGGAAUUACCUGACGCUGAGGAGCGAAAGUGUGGGGAGCGAACAGGAUUAGAUA
Molecule: ribosomal RNA, 279 nt
Filed under: uncultured bacterium
Lineage: Bacteria
Description: partial 16S ribosomal RNA
Rfam family: Bacterial small subunit ribosomal RNA
Source: RNAcentral